RNAcentral lists this ribosomal RNA (253 nucleotides) under uncultured bacterium. RNAcentral describes it as "partial 16S ribosomal RNA". It matches the Rfam family "Bacterial small subunit ribosomal RNA", at positions 524 to 776 of the family's 1533-position model. The record is from RNAcentral.
UACAGAGGUGGCAAGCGUUGUUCGGAAUUACUGGGCGUAAAGGGCGCGUAGGCGGUCUUGUAAGUCCUGUGUGAAAUCCCCCGGCUCAACUGGGGAAUUGCACGGGAAACUGCUUGGCUUGAGUUCGGGAGAGGGAAGCGGAAUUCCGGGUGUAGCGGUGAAAUGCGUAGAUAUCCGGAGGAACACCGGUGGCGAAGGCGGCUUCCUGGACCGACACUGACGCUGAGGCGCGAAAGCUAGGGGAGCAAACGGG